UAUAGGAUCCGAUUGAAAUCACAAUCAUGGCGCUCUGUAUUUCAUGUUCUUCUGUUAAAUAAAUGAAGAUUCCCGAUACUAUCAGUGUAGUGAAAUGGGCCCUGAAAUCAUUUCUAUUAUUCAAAAUGCCAUAGGCCAAAAGGUCCGGAGUCGUACUCAUAACCUAACAGACUAUGCCAGGCAGUUUAAUGGAGAAAAUAUUUCACCACAAGUAAAUUGCACCCGAAGAUGGCUUAGUGUGCUGUGAGUGUUGAGUAAGAGCUACACGAUCUCUUCCGCAGCAAGAAGUUGAAGCUUACAGGAAAGCAGAGAAUCCUCGACAAUUAAUACUUGUGUAUGGUGCUUAGGCUCUCUUGUUGAGACCAGAAGGCAUUCAUUGCCCGAGGGACCGGAACUGGAUGAAAUAAUUGCAAGAUUUUUCCUAGAGAUUCCAUGUGGCUGGUGGCCAUGUAUGUUAUGCGUGCUGGGUUUCAGCAUGUAAAAAUGUGCAACGAGCCCGGAACUCCUCUCUGAAGGCAAAGUUGUGCCAUAACUACUGGGCCAGCAAGAAUUAGCAACCAGGCCCUGUGUACUCAUACAAUCACCAUUGUUUGGUACUUGUUGGGCUCGGCUAGUAUCCUGCUAUUGCUGCACCGGCCUCAUUUUUCGAAUAUUUUAAUAAGGGAAGAUGAUGAUUGAA
Molecule: long non-coding RNA, 679 nt
Organism: Ostrinia nubilalis (European corn borer)
Lineage: Eukaryota; Metazoa; Arthropoda; Insecta; Lepidoptera; Crambidae
Exons: 5
Source: RefSeq, a predicted model, not a curated record